This 293-nucleotide long non-coding RNA is filed under the name Mytilus galloprovincialis (Mediterranean mussel). Lineage: Eukaryota; Metazoa; Mollusca; Bivalvia; Mytilida; Mytilidae. The record is from RNAcentral.
UGGAAAUCAAAUUCCGCCAACUAUCAAUAAAAAACAACAAAAUAUAAACAAAAAAAUUUAUACAAUCAACUUUAGAUAUAAUUAGGGUGUAGGUGGCUAGAAAAUUCUUUUUUUUUUUCUUCUGGCAAAAUAGUAGCGUCUAGUAGCAUUAAGGACAAUUGCGAGAAUACGGUCACAACUAGACGAUUAGGAAGAAUAAGCAUAUACUUUAUUCUCAUUGGUCAAUUAUGAUAUUUACAAUCAAUGGAAAUUGAUCUUGAAACUGAUAAUGACAUGACCAUGUUGACCUUAAC